AUUCUUAUCAUCUUCUUGGAUUUUUCUCACGAGUUUAAUAUUUUAUUUUCUCUCGUUCUAUUCAUAUUUCUUUUUGCAUUUACUCGUGAGCAUGUUUAAUUUCUGCUAUCUGUUUAUGAAAUUCUCUAUUGCUAGUUGUUUACUGAUCUCUCGAAUGGCAUUCGUCUGUAUCAUUUAGAUUGAUCUCGUUUUAGUCUCGUAUCAAUCAAUCAUGCCUAUAGGCAAUUAUACUGUCUGUCCUGGGAAUAAUGAGCCCCUGGUCGGACGUGAUUUGUUGUUGAUGAACAGAAGAGAGCUUGAUC
RNAcentral lists this long non-coding RNA (302 nucleotides) under Elaeis guineensis (African oil palm). RNAcentral's name for it is "long non-coding RNA (EGUI_LNC035737)". Lineage: Eukaryota; Viridiplantae; Streptophyta; Magnoliopsida; Arecales; Arecaceae. The record is from RNAcentral.